UCCUGAUCAAUGGUGAGACUAACUUGAUUACCUGAGAGGUUUGCUCUUGGUCUCACAAAACUCCUGCUCACAGGAGCUCAAACUCUCCUCAACAGAGAAGCCACACCAGGAGGAGGGUGCUGAGGAGGACCUGCUAAUGGAUCAAGAGGCAGAAGAGUGGCUGGGUUGGGAACCUGGAGUCGGUGUGGAUUCAGCAGAAUAUGUACCUUCCUGGGGGUGGCAGCCCAUCAAGCUGGGUUUGAUUUUGGGAUCUUGGAGAAAGGGAAAGGGGAGUGGGCAAGCAUUCCAGGCAAGCUAUUGGCUCAGAGGAGAGAAAACAGGAGAUGUAUUAGAAGACCAGCAACUAUAUUCUGGUUUGGCUGAAAUGUCAGCCCCUCCUUCUGAAGCAAUCCGUUGCUUCCUGCUGUAAAGUCCUGGCUGUGACUCCCCAUCGCCAUAAAGAGGAAAUCCACACUCCUGGCCGAGACGUCACAAGGCCCUGCAGGAGCUGCUCCAUGUCUAGUCUGUGGUCUUCACGCUCUGCCCUUGGAGCCGAACUGCCUUCAGCUCCUGGAAUCCACGUGCUCUCACCUGCAAGGCUUUAGUGCAAGCUGUUCUCUCUGUCACAACCCUCCUCCUCGAGGACCUUUUCCCCCUGGCUGGACACGAUUUAUCCUGUAGGUGAAGCCUAAAUGCCACUUCCAUGGAGUGGAAGCCUCUGGAUCCCAGGCCUGAGUGAUGAGAGCCUGUUUUCUCACGAACCACGGUGGUUACAUGGAUCCCCUGAAUUACAGUCGCUUCCUCUCUCUUAGGAAAUGCAGACUUUCCUGGGUCAGGCCCCAUCUGAUUUGUUCCUGGGCACGCAUCCCUGGCACUUAGGGCUGAAGCUGCCCGGUGAAUGCCUGGCCAGUGAAGCAGGGCGCCAAAGGGUGAGUUUUGUCCAGCUUGCCCCGGAAGCCAGCAGCCAGGGCCCUUGACUUUGAGCUCUCCAGGAGGAGACAGAACUUUUGCCGGGCGGCCUCUGUGUUGCCCGUGACAUCGUCUUCAGGUCCUUAACAGGAAGAGAGGGGAGAGAGGGGCGGAGAGGAGGAGGCAGGGCAGAGAAGAAAGCAAGCCCUAAUCCGUGGCCCAGAAGGAAUGAACAUUUCCAACCUCGCUACAUCUCUCAUCUAAGUAGGUCACACGAAAGAACUCGGAGUCCCUGUCAAAGUUUCAGGCAAAAACAAUAACUUGGUUUUGACCUUGCUCUCUUCAAAAAGCAACUUGCUGCUGAGCUGCAACAUCAAAAAGAAUAAAUAAUUGUUUUUCUUU
This is a long non-coding RNA of Nyctereutes procyonoides (raccoon dog), 1290 nucleotides long. RefSeq lists it as uncharacterized. NCBI's taxonomy places the organism in Eukaryota, Metazoa, Chordata, Mammalia, Carnivora, Canidae. The record is from RefSeq and is a predicted model, not a curated record. The transcript has 2 exons.